GAUGAACGCUGGCGGCGUGCUUAACACAUGCAAGUCGAACGGAAAGGCCAGUGCUUGCACUGGUGCUCGAGUGGCGAACGGGUGAGUAACACGUGGGUGAUCUGCCCUGCACUUUGGGAUAAGCCUGGGAAACUGGGUCUAAUACCAGAUAGGACCAUGCUUUGGAUGGUGUGGUGGAAAGUUUUUUCGGUGUGGGAUGAGCUUGCGGCCUAUCAGCUUGUUGGUGGGGUAAUGGCCUACCAAGGCGUCGACGGGUAGCCGGCCUGAGAGGGUGUACGGCCACAUUGGGACUGAGAUACGGCCCAGACUCCUACGGGAGGCAGCAGUGGGGAAUAUUGCACAAUGGGCGCAAGCCUGAUGCAGCGACGCGGCGUGGGGGAUGACGGCCUUCGGGUUGUAAACUCCUUUCGCAACUGACGAAGCUUUUUGUGACGGUAGGUUGAGAAGAAGCACCGGCUAACUACGUG
This 467-nucleotide ribosomal RNA is filed under the name uncultured bacterium. RNAcentral describes it as "partial 16S ribosomal RNA". It matches the Rfam family "Bacterial small subunit ribosomal RNA", at positions 28 to 507 of the family's 1533-position model. The record is from RNAcentral.